AUGGGUGGCGCUCCGCCUCCGCCCCCACCUCCGUUUCGGGGAGCCCCACCUCCUCCUCCAAUGCCAGGAGCACCUCCUCCACCGCCUCCUCCGAGAGGUGGGUUUGCACCUCCUCCACCGCCUCCUCCGGGAGGUGGGUUGGCACCUCCUCCGCCGCCUCCUCCGGGAGGUGGGUUUGCACCUCCUCCGCCGCCUCCUCCAGGAGGUGGGCGCGGACCUCCUCCACCGCCUCCACCAGGAGGUGGGCGCGGACCUCCUCCACCCCCUCCCCCCGGAGGACGUGUCCCAGGUCCCCCAGGUGGUGGACCGCCUCCACCACCACCUUUAGGCGCCAAAGGAGCUGAUGCAAGAGGCGGACCAGGUAGAGGCCGAGGGCGUGGGGGUGCUGGUAUGGCACCUCGA
RNAcentral lists this long non-coding RNA (402 nucleotides) under Linum usitatissimum (flax). RNAcentral's name for it is "long non-coding RNA (LUSI_LNC007799)". The record is from RNAcentral. Lineage: Eukaryota; Viridiplantae; Streptophyta; Magnoliopsida; Malpighiales; Linaceae.